AGCAGAUUUCCCUUUGCCUUUAAUAAACACAGUGCAUUAAGUAGCCAGUUGCUGAAAACUCACAAGGCAAGUUAGCUAACGGUGUGUCCCACUGGACCACCACUCAAAAGAAGCGAGAUACACAGAAGAUGAGGUUGUGGGGGUGUGGCUUAGAGUGCACCUGUACGACGCAUGCCGUCUUCAGUCGCCUGCCAAACGUGCCUUUGAUUAGGAACAGCUCUAAUAUUUUUUUCUUCAAAUCAAGUCAGCAUUUGGGGAUGGGAUUAGGGCAGGGGACUCGGGGGCGCAAAUAUCUGGUGAAAGCACCAGAGAGUUUGUCACAGUGACGUAAUUUUAGUUAAGAUGUGUCUAUGUAUAUAUGUGUGUUUGCCUUUGUUUAAGAGCAUGGUUAUUUGCUGAAAUAAUUGUUAAAAAUGCUCUGUCAGUCUUACUUUGGUGUAAGAACAAAGUGGUCUGUACAUGUAAUAGUGGUCUUUGUACCUAACCAUGUUCGCAGCUGACCUUUGUACCUAACCAUGUUCGCUGCUGACCUUUGUACCUAACCAUGUUCGCUGCUGACCUUUGAACCUAACCAUGUUCGCAGCUGACCUUUGAACCUAACCAUGUUCGCAGCUGAUCUUUGUACUCCAUGUGCAGAAAUAUUUGGUUUGCGUUAAAGUGAAAAUAAUGGCUGUUAUUUUUCUGGCAUUACUAAGAUAAACCGAGAAAUAAUAAAGAAAAAUGCCUUAUAUAGCC
This 735-nucleotide long non-coding RNA is filed under the name Rattus norvegicus (Norway rat). Its description in RNAcentral is "long non-coding RNA NONRATT024769". The record is from RNAcentral. Lineage: Eukaryota; Metazoa; Chordata; Mammalia; Rodentia; Muridae.